UUAUUUUGACAGCUGGUUAUCGUUUGUGUUUCAUGUCUAAUUUGAAUUCCUUUGCCUCAUUGUCGGGAUUGUUGUCAGCUGUGCUACGCAGGUGUUUCCAUUCCCCUGAUUGUCCCUCACAGUAUGUCUUGUGUGCGUUUGGAUCCUCAAUCCUGUAUUUUGUGACAGUAUUAUAAAAACUGAAGCAUAGCCAUCAUUCGUCACUGCAGAUGAAGCUGUUGGAUUUCAAAGCUGUUCAUUUUCCAACCUGUACAUCGGAAUCAGACUUCAAUCAGUCAAUCAAUCAGGCUUCCAGCGAUGAGGAAUGUGGCAACAAAAAGCACAAAAGCAUCACUUUUAAGUAGCAGUCAUCUGCUGGUGUAAGAUGUGGUCCUAAUAAUAGUUUCUCCUCGACAGUAACACUGUUCUCUAAAGACACUCUGCACACCCAGAAACCUGAAGUUUGCAUAUGGGGCUCUGCAGAAGAUUAGCACAACAGUUUCAAAAACUGCUUCUUCCUCUGGGUAAAAGAAGAGACCACCUAAAUAUUAUGAUCAGGCUACUUUUUCUUGCUUUCUUAAAAAAAUCAUUUUUCUUUUUCCAUUGCUGGGACGUUCUCAUAACACUGUGUACUUUUAUAUCACAGAAUACCAUGGAUGUUAGAUUAGGUGCUGUGUUGUAAGAGCAAAUUAAAACAGUGAAUUUGUGUGUUAUUAGAAUUAUUAAUAUUAUCAAUGUGUAAAGUUCAGAAUGUAACUGAGGGGAAACUUUAUAGAAGGACAUCGCCAUGGUAGGGUUCAGCAUGCAUGCAUGCAUUCAUUGAUGUUUCCUUAGAAACCAGUUGUACUUAUUAGUUUAGUUUGCGUGUUAUGUACACACACACACCGGUUGCUUUAUUAGGUACGCUUUGCAAGUAUCAGGUUGAACCCUUUUUGCCUUCAGAAUUACCUUAAUUCCUUCAUAUCCAAAAGCUGCCCUACUGUAUUGAGAUCUGGUGACUGCAGAGGUCGUUUGUCUACAGUGAACUCAUUGUCGUGUUCAUGAAACCAGCUUGAGAUUAUUCGAAAUUUGUGACAUGGUUUGUUUAUGUGUUUUGACUUUAAAUGAUGCUCAUUGUGGCACUCAGUUUCCUAUUCUUUGCUGACAGGAGUGUAGUCUUCUGCUGCUAUAACCCUGCUUUAAGGUAUUUAGAGAUGUUCUU
Long non-coding RNA from Oreochromis niloticus (Nile tilapia), 1180 nucleotides. RefSeq lists it as uncharacterized. The record is from RefSeq and is a predicted model, not a curated record. The transcript has 3 exons. Lineage: Eukaryota; Metazoa; Chordata; Actinopteri; Cichliformes; Cichlidae.